RNAcentral lists this ribosomal RNA (1343 nucleotides) under metagenome. Its description in RNAcentral is "SSU rRNA". It matches the Rfam family "Eukaryotic small subunit ribosomal RNA", at positions 1 to 1378 of the family's 1831-position model. The record is from RNAcentral.
UCUGGUUGAUCCUGCCAGUAGUCAUAUGCUUGUCUCAAAGACUAAGCCAUGCAUGUCUAAGUAUAAAUAGUAUACAGUGAAACUGCGAAUGGCUCAUUAAAACAGUUAUAGUUUAUUUGAUAAUUGACAAUUACAUGGAUAACCGUGGUAAUUCUAGAGCUAAUACAUGCUUAAACGCCCGACUUUAUGGAAGGGUGGUAUUUAUUAGACUGAAGCCAAUAUUCCUUGUGUCUAUUGCGGUGAUCCAUAAUAACUGAUCGAAUCUCUUUUUGAGAUAAAUCAUUCAAGUUUCUGCCCUAUCAGCUUUCGAUGGUAGUGUAUUGGACUACCAUGGCAGUAACGGGUAACGAAGAAUUAGGGUUCGAUUUCGGAGAGGGAGCAUGAGAAACGGCUACCACAUCUAAGGAAGGCAGCAGGCGCGUAAAUUACCCAAUCCUGACUCAGGGAGGUAGUGACAAGAAAUAGCAAACCGGGAACCUCAUGGUUUCACGGUAUUGCAAUGAGAACAAUUUAAAACCCUUAGCGAGAAUCAAGUGGAGGACAAGUCUGGUGCCAGCACCCGCGGUAAUUCCAGCUCCACUAGCGUAUAUUAAAGUUGUUGCAGUUAAAAAGCUCGUAGUUGAACCUCUGUCUGGGGCUAGUUUUGGCUUUGGUCAGGCUAGUUCUAGGCAUCCGCCUACAAGACUUAGAGGGCAUUCAGUUGUUCACUAGGAGGAGUAGGCAUUUUACUUUGAAAAAAUUAGAGUGUUUAAGGCAGGCAAUCGCCCGCAUAUAUUAGCAUGGAAUAAUAGAAUAGGACACUUUUCCAUUUCGUUGGUUAUUGGAAUCGUGUAAUGAUUAAUAGGGACAGUUGUGGGCAUUUGUAUUUAAUUGUCAGAGGUGAAAUUCUUGGAUUUAUUAAAGACAAACUAACGCGAGAGCAUUUGCCAAGGAUGUUUUCAUUAAUCAAGAACGAAAGUUAGGGGAUCAAAGACGAUCAGAUACCGUCCUAGUCUUAACUAUAAACUAUUCCGACUCAAUGUUUGACUGGCUUAUAUAACCAGUUGAGCGUUGUAUGAGAAAUCAAAGUCUUUAGGUUCUGGGGGGAGUAUGGUUGCAAAGCUGAAACUUAAAGGAAUUGACGGAAGAGCACAACCAGGAGUGGAUUCUGCGGCUUAAUUUGACUCAACACGGGGAAACUUACCAGGUUAAAACAAUAGUGGGAUUGACAGUUUGAGAGCGCUUUCUUGAUUGGUUGGGUGGUGGUGCAUGGCCGUUCUUAGUUGGUGGAGUGAUUUGUCUGCUUAAUUGCGUUAACGAACGAGACCUUAACCUGCUUACUAGACUGGCGAUCAUCAAUCGUU